GAAUAUAUAAUUAGAAUAUACAUAAAUGAUUACUCCUGUCAUUAUACUAUUCAGAUAUUAAUGCUUGAUUUUCCUCUCUUCAUGGAAUUUCAAGUUUGGCUAUUCUGUUACGUAC
Non-coding RNA from Brassica napus (rape), 115 nucleotides. The record is from Rfam. NCBI's taxonomy places the organism in Eukaryota, Viridiplantae, Streptophyta, Magnoliopsida, Brassicales, Brassicaceae.